GAUGAAGAACGCAGUGAAAUGCGAUACUUGGUGUGAAUUGCAGAAUCCCGUGAACCAUCGAGUCUUUGAACGCAAGUUGCGCCCGAAGCCAUUAGGCCGAGGGCACGCCUGCCUGGGUGUCACACGUCGUUGCCCCCCCAUCUACUCCUUCGGGAUUGCGGGGGGCGGAUGAUGGCCUCCCGUGCGCCUCGUCGCGCGGUUGGCAUAAAUGCCAAGUCCUCAGCGACGCACGCCACGACAAUCGGUGGUUGCGAAACCUCGGUUGCCCGUCGUGUGCGGUCGUCGCGCAUCGAGGGCUCGAAAAAAUUGCCGGGCUCCGGCUCGGCUUUCAACGCGACCCCAGGUCAGGCGGGGUUACCCGCUGAAUUUAAGCAUAUCAAUAAGCGGAGGA
RNAcentral lists this unclassified non-coding RNA (391 nucleotides) under soil metagenome. Its description in RNAcentral is "partial contains 5.8S ribosomal RNA, internal transcribed spacer 2, and large subunit ribosomal RNA". The stretch from base 1 to 122 matches the Rfam family "5.8S ribosomal RNA", at positions 35 to 154 of the family's 154-position model. The record is from RNAcentral.